GGAUGGUUCAGUGGUUAGAGCAGUGUGCUGAUAAUGCCAAGUUUGCAGGUUCAUCUCCUGCAGGGGGCAACA
Non-coding RNA from Podarcis lilfordi (Lilford's wall lizard), 72 nucleotides. Lineage: Eukaryota; Metazoa; Chordata; Lepidosauria; Squamata; Lacertidae. The record is from the annotation of a GenBank genome assembly.